GAAGCGUGUCCACAUUUCUAUAGCUUUCCUUCCCUUCUCCCUGGCCUCCUCAUGUCUCUGUGCCCACCACAGCUGACACCCAUUUUUGCUUCCAUUGCACCCAAGCUGUUCAAGUCUCUGCGAAGCCACGGCCCCUGAGUGCUCGUCGGAAACCUUUCUGUGGAAAGGAGAGGCCUACAUCUGGGCCAGAGGCCUGUCCUCAGUUGACACUGGUACAGAAUGUCUGCAAGUAAUCAAACACACCUGAAGACCCUUCGAGAGAUAGGAAAAUAUCAAGAUCCAGAGCACAGCUUCCGGAGCCAUUCUGCCUGGAAUCAGGUCAUCAUUCCACACCUGACCCAGGGCUUCUUGAUUCACCUAGCUUCACAAGAGCCAAGAGGUGUGUUGAUGGAGAGCGGUCAUACAGUGCUAGUAAUUGCCUUGGAUUCCUGUGCUGUCCUUCAUCAGGGACCUUUAAUGAAGUCUGAGUUGUAGUCCAGUGGAUGCCAGACUGGAAUGCAGGGAGGCUGAAAGCUGACACCAGUUCAACGGAGCCAAGGGCCAGGCGCUAAGGUUGUCUCCAUGACAACCUGCGGAUUUUCCUGGUGAUGCAUUUACACAGCAGGUUAAAGUUCUGUGAAUCAACAGCUGUUGUAAAAACAGUAUAUUAAAUAUGCU
Molecule: long non-coding RNA, 657 nt
Filed under: Vulpes vulpes (red fox)
Lineage: Eukaryota; Metazoa; Chordata; Mammalia; Carnivora; Canidae
Description: lncRNA (ENSVVUG00000022405.1)
Source: RNAcentral